GGUUAAGCGACUAAGCGUACACGGUGGAUGCCCUGGCAGUCAGAGGCGAUGAAGGACGUGCUAAUCUGCGAUAAGCGUCGGUAAGGUGAUAUGAACCGUUAUAACCGGCGAUUUCCGAAUGGGGAAACCCAGUGUGAUUCGUCACACUAUCAUUAACUGAAUCCAUAGGUUAAUGAGGCGAACCGGGGGAACUGAAACAUCUAAGUACCCCGAGGAAAAGAAAUCAACCGAGAUUCCCCCAGUAGCGGCGAGCGAACGGGGAGGAGCCCAGAGCCUGAAUCAGUGUGUGUGUUAGUGGAAGCGUCUGGAAAGGCGCGCGAUACAGGGUGACAGCCCCGUACACAAAAAUGCACAUGCUGUGAGCUCGAUGAGUAGGGCGGGACACGUGGUAUCCUGUCUGAAUAUGGGGGGACCAUCCUCCAAGGCUAAAUACUCCUGACUGACCGAUAGUGAACCAGUACCGUGAGGGAAAGGCGAAAAGAACCCCGGCGAGGGGAGUGAAAAAGAACCUGAAACCGUGUACGUACAAGCAGUGGGAGCACGCUUCGGCGUGUGACUGCGUACCUUUUGUAUAAUGGGUCAGCGACUUAUAUUCUGUAGCAAGGUUAACCGAAUAGGGGAGCCGAAGGGAAACCGAGUCUUAACUGGGCGUUAAGUUGCAGGGUAUAGACCCGAAACCCGGUGAUCUAGCCAUGGGCAGGUUGAAGGUUGGGUAACACUAACUGGAGGACCGAACCGACUAAUGUUGAAAAAUUAGCGGAUGACUUGUGGCUGGGGGUGAAAGGCCAAUCAAACCGGGAGAUAGCUGGUUCUCCCCGAAAGCUAUUUAGGUAGCGCCUCGUGAAUUCAUCUCCGGGGGUAGAGCACUGUUUCGGCAAGGGGGUCAUCCCGACUUACCAACCCGAUGCAAACUGCGAAUACCGGAGAAUGUUAUCACGGGAGACACACGGCGGGUGCUAACGUCCGUCGUGAAGAGGGAAACAACCCAGACCGCCAGCUAAGGUCCCAAAGUCAUGGUUAAGUGGGAAACGAUGUGGGAAGGCCCAGACAGCCAGGAUGUUGGCUUAGAAGCAGCCAUCAUUUAAAGAAAGCGUAAUAGCUCACUGGUCGAGUCGGCCUGCGCGGAAGAUGUAACGGGGCUAAACCAUGCACCGAAGCUGCGGCAGCGACACUAUGUGUUGUUGGGUAGGGGAGCGUUCUGUAAGCCUGUGAAGGUGUACUGUGAGGUAUGCUGGAGGUAUCAGAAGUGCGAAUGCUGACAUAAGUAACGAUAAAGCGGGUGAAAAGCCCGCUCGCCGGAAGACCAAGGGUUCCUGUCCAACGUUAAUCGGGGCAGGGUGAGUCGACCCCUAAGGCGAGGCCGAAAGGCGUAGUCGAUGGGAAACAGGUUAAUAUUCCUGUACUUGGUGUUACUGCGAAGGGGGGACGGAGAAGGCUAUGUUGGCCGGGCGACGGUUGUCCCGGUUUAAGCGUGUAGGCUGGUUUUCCAGGCAAAUCCGGAAAAUCAAGGCUGAGGCGUGAUGACGAGGCACUACGGUGCUGAAGCAACAAAUGCCCUGCUUCCAGGAAAAGCCUCUAAGCAUCAGGUAACAUCAAAUCGUACCCCAAACCGACACAGGUGGUCAGGUAGAGAAUACCAAGGCGCUUGAGAGAACUCGGGUGAAGGAACUAGGCAAAAUGGUGCCGUAACUUCGGGAGAAGGCACGCUGAUAUGUAGGUGAAGCGACUUGCUCGUGGAGCUGAAAUCAGUCGAAGAUACCAGCUGGCUGCAACUGUUUAUUAAAAACACAGCACUGUGCAAACACGAAAGUGGACGUAUACGGUGUGACGCCUGCCCGGUGCCGGAAGGUUAAUUGAUGGGGUUAGCGGCAACGCGAAGCUCUUGAUCGAAGCCCCGGUAAACGGCGGCCGUAACUAUAACGGUCCUAAGGUAGCGAAAUUCCUUGUCGGGUAAGUUCCGACCUGCACGAAUGGCGUAAUGAUGGCCAGGCUGUCUCCACCCGAGACUCAGUGAAAUUGAACUCGCUGUGAAGAUGCAGUGUACCCGCGGCAAGACGGAAAGACCCCGUGAACCUUUACUAUAGCUUGACACUGAACAUUGAGCCUUGAUGUGUAGGAUAGGUGGGAGGCUUUGAAGUGUGGACGCCAGUCUGCAUGGAGCCGACCUUGAAAUACCACCCUUUAAUGUUUGAUGUUCUAACGUUGGCCCGUGAUCCGGGUUGCGGACAGUGUCUGGUGGGUAGUUUGACUGGGGCGGUCUCCUCCUAAAGAGUAACGGAGGAGCACGAAGGUUGGCUAAUCCUGGUCGGACAUCAGGAGGUUAGUGCAAUGGCAUAAGCCAGCUUGACUGCGAGCGUGACGGCGCGAGCAGGUGCGAAAGCAGGUCAUAGUGAUCCGGUGGUUCUGAAUGGAAGGGCCAUCGCUCAACGGAUAAAAGGUACUCCGGGGAUAACAGGCUGAUACCGCCCAAGAGUUCAUAUCGACGGCGGUGUUUGGCACCUCGAUGUCGGCUCAUCACAUCCUGGGGCUGAAGUAGGUCCCAAGGGUAUGGCUGUUCGCCAUUUAAAGUGGUACGCGAGCUGGGUUUAGAACGUCGUGAGACAGUUCGGUCCCUAUCUGCCGUGGGCGCUGGAGAACUGAGGGGGGCUGCUCCUAGUACGAGAGGACCGGAGUGGACGCAUCACUGGUGUUCGGGUUGUCAUGCCAAUGGCACUGCCCGGUAGCUAAAUGCGGAAGAGAUAAGUGCUGAAAGCAUCUAAGCACGAAACUUGCCCCGAGAUGAGUUCUCCCUGACUCCNNNNNNNNNNUUAACCUU
RNAcentral lists this ribosomal RNA (2815 nucleotides) under Escherichia coli. Its description in RNAcentral is "23S ribosomal RNA". It matches the Rfam family "Bacterial large subunit ribosomal RNA". Lineage: Bacteria; Pseudomonadati; Pseudomonadota; Gammaproteobacteria; Enterobacterales; Enterobacteriaceae. The record is from RNAcentral.